Molecule: long non-coding RNA, 661 nt
Filed under: Homo sapiens (human)
Lineage: Eukaryota; Metazoa; Chordata; Mammalia; Primates; Hominidae
Source: RNAcentral
GGGCCCGCGCGCGCGCUCUGGAGACUCCUGCGGUCUCCCUAGCUGUUUCUUGAAGCUCUGCAUAAGCCUCGCCCGCGGCCGCCGGGUUGCGUCCGCACUUCUGCGCGCUGGCCCCUCCCUUGCUCCUCUCCCUAGCAGUCUCCAGGGUUUUACCGGGAGGACCUAGGCAACGGCCUGAGACUCCGAGACUCUAUGUUGAAGAUGCCUGGACUAACCUACUGAAGAUACGUGGUUUUACCAACAGCCAGCACCAAUAGGAAGAUAUGAAUGAAGCCAUCUGAGACCAGCCAUCUGGCAGCCAAACUGCCAACUGACUGCAAAUGCAUGAAUGAUCCCACUGACACCACGUAGAGCACAAAUGAGUUGCCUCCACUGAGCCCAGCCCAAAUUGUUAUCCUAUAAAAUCAUAAAAACAUAAACAGUUGUUUUAAGUCACUAAGUUUUGGAUAGUUUGUUAUACAACAAAAGCUAGCUGAAACAAAUGUAUUAGCUAGAGCAGCUGUGAAUGGCACUAUUUGCUUAGUUGAUUGGCUGAAAUUUGGACUCACUGGUAGGUUACAUUUAAUGGUGUUGAGUUGCCAGAAUUUCUCUGGAAUAAUGUAUAGGAAGGAUUCUAAUGGCCUAAGCCAUUAGAAUCUCUAAGGAGAUAGAAAUAAAGGAG